RNAcentral lists this ribosomal RNA (460 nucleotides) under uncultured bacterium. RNAcentral describes it as "partial 16S ribosomal RNA". It matches the Rfam family "Bacterial small subunit ribosomal RNA", at positions 338 to 795 of the family's 1533-position model. The record is from RNAcentral.
CCUACGGGGGGCUGCAGUGAGGAAUAUUGGUCAAUGGGCGAGAGCCUGAACCAGCCAAGUCGCGUGAGGGAAGACGGUCCUAUGGAUUGUAAACCUCUUUUGCCGGGGAGCAAAAAGCGGUACGUGUACCGCAUCGAGAGUACCCGGAGAAAAAGCAUCGGCUAACUCCGUGCCAGCAGCCGCGGUAAUACGUAGGUGGCAAGCGUUGUCCGGAUUUACUGGGUGUAAAGGGCGUGCAGCCGGAGAGACAAGUCAGAUGUGAAAUCCACGGGCUCAACCCGUGAACUGCAUUUGAAACUGUUUCCCUUGAGUGUCGGAGAGGUAAUCGGAAUUCCUUGUGUAGCGGUGAAAUGCGUAGAUAUAAGGAAGAACACCAGUGGCGAAGGCGGAUUACUGGACGAUAACUGACGGUGAGGCGCGAAAGCGUGGGGAGCAAACAGGAUUAGAUACCCCUGUAGUC